UACAGAGGUCUCAAGCGUUGUUCGGAUUCAUUGGGCGUAAAGGGUGCGUAGGCGGCCCGGUAAGUCGGGUGUGAAAUCUCGGAGCUUAACUCCGAAACUGCAUUCGAUACUGCCGUGCUUGAGGACUGGAGAGGAGACUGGAAUUUACGGUGUAGCGGUGAAAUGCGCAGAUAUCAGGAGGAACACCGGUGGCGAAGGCGGGUCUCUGGGCCGAUACUGACGCUGAGGAGCGAAAGCGUGGGGAGCAAACAGG
RNAcentral lists this ribosomal RNA (253 nucleotides) under uncultured bacterium. RNAcentral's name for it is "partial 16S ribosomal RNA". It matches the Rfam family "Bacterial small subunit ribosomal RNA", at positions 524 to 776 of the family's 1533-position model. The record is from RNAcentral.